RNAcentral lists this ribosomal RNA (553 nucleotides) under uncultured bacterium. RNAcentral's name for it is "bacterial SSU rRNA". It matches the Rfam family "Bacterial small subunit ribosomal RNA", at positions 777 to 1336 of the family's 1533-position model. The record is from RNAcentral.
AAUAGAUACCCCGGUAGUCCACGCCCUAAACGAUGUCAACUGGUUGUUGGAAGGGUUCCCUUUCAGUAACGAAGCUAACGCGUGAAGUUGACCGCCUGGGGAGUACGGCCGCAAGGUUGAAACCCAAAGGAAUUGACGGGGACCCGCACAAGCGGUGGAUGAUGUGGUUUAAUUCGAUGCAACGCGAAAAACCUUACCUACCCUUGACAUGUCUGGAAUCCCGAAGAGAUUUGGGAGUGCUCGAAAGAGAACCAGAACACAGGUGCUGCAUGGCCGUCGUCAGCUCGUGUCGUGAGAUGUUGGGUUAAGUCCCGCAACGAGCGCAACCCUUGUCAUUAGUUGCUACGAAAGGGCACUCUAAUGAGACUGCCGGUGACAAACCGGAGGAAGGUGGGGAUGACGUCAGGUCCUCAUGGCCCUUAUGGGUAGGGCUACACACGUCAUACGAUGGCCGGUACAGAGGGCUGCCAACCCGCGAGGGGAGCUAAUCCCAGAAAACCGGUCGUAGUCCGGAUCGCAGUCUGCAACUCGACUGCGUGAAGUCGGAAUCGCU